GCGGCAUGCCUUACACAUGCAAGUCGAACGGCAGCACGGGUGCUUGCACCUGGUGGCGAGUGGCGAACGGGUGAGUAAUACAUCGGAACAUGUCCUGUAGUGGGGGAUAGCCCGGCGAAAGCCGGAUUAAUACCGCAUACGAUCUGAGGAUGAAAGCGGGGGACCUUCGGGCCUCGCGCUAUAGGGUUGGCCGAUGGCUGAUUAGCUAGUUGGUGGGGUAAAGGCCUACCAAGGCGACGAUCAGUAGCUGGUCUGAGAGGACGACCAGCCACACUGGGACUGAGACACGGCCCAGACUCCUACGGGAGGCAGCAGUGGGGAAUUUUGGACAAUGGGCGAAAGCCUGAUCCAGCAAUGCCGCGUGUGUGAAGAAGGCCUUCGGGUUGUAAAGCACUUUUGUCCGGAAAGAAAUCCUUGGUUCUAAUAUAGCCGGGGGAUGACGGUACCGGAAGAAUAAGCACCGGCUAACUACGUGCCAGCAGCCGCGGUAAUACGUAGGGUGCAAGCGUUAAUCGGAAUUACUGGGCGUAAAGCGUGCGCAGGCGGUUUGCUAAGACCGAUGUGAAAUCCCCGGGCUCAACCUGGGAACUGCAUUGGUGACUGGCA
RNAcentral lists this ribosomal RNA (606 nucleotides) under uncultured Burkholderia sp. RNAcentral describes it as "bacterial SSU rRNA". It matches the Rfam family "Bacterial small subunit ribosomal RNA", at positions 39 to 638 of the family's 1533-position model. The record is from RNAcentral. Lineage: Bacteria; Pseudomonadati; Pseudomonadota; Betaproteobacteria; Burkholderiales; Burkholderiaceae.